RNAcentral lists this long non-coding RNA (388 nucleotides) under Setaria viridis. RNAcentral describes it as "long non-coding RNA (SVIR_LNC003695)". Lineage: Eukaryota; Viridiplantae; Streptophyta; Magnoliopsida; Poales; Poaceae. The record is from RNAcentral.
GUAUUGGGAAUAUGCAAAUUGCAAUAACAGGUCUUGCGGGUGGUGUGAAGACGAUUCGUCGCUUAAGUUUGGCGUCUGGUCUCUGUUAGUGGUUCGGUCUCUUUCACAUGAGCGAUGAAGCUUGUCUCACCAAUGAUCAUGGUCAGUUGCAUCCUGAUUCAUCCAUCAUAUCUCUUUGUGUUGGCUUUGGCAUUUUGCUUAUACCUCAUUCCUGCGACCUAUAGUACUUGAUAAAUGCAUGUUGUCAUUCAAUCCGCUGCAACAGAUAUGUUCGCCGAUAAUUUUUGCAAGUUGGAACUGAAGAUUAUAAUAUUUUGAGUCCGAUGUGUUGAAUUUGUCUGCUGAGUUCAAUUCAAAAGUUUUCUAUUUUGUUGAUUUCUAGAGCCGU